This 253-nucleotide ribosomal RNA is filed under the name uncultured bacterium. RNAcentral's name for it is "partial 16S ribosomal RNA". It matches the Rfam family "Bacterial small subunit ribosomal RNA", at positions 524 to 776 of the family's 1533-position model. The record is from RNAcentral.
UACGAAGGGGGCGAGCGUUAUUCGGAAUCACUGGGCGUAAAGCGUGCGUAGGCUGCCUUACAAGUUGGACGUGAAAGCCCAGGGCUCAACCCUGGAAUUGCUCUCAAUACUGUAAGGCUCGGAUUUGGGAGAGGAUAGCGGAAUUGUCAGUGUAGCAGUGAAAUGCGUAGAUAUUGACAGGAACACCAGUGGCGCAAGCGGCUAUCUGGACCAACAUCGACGCUGAGGCGCGAAAGCGUGGGGAUCAAACAGG